Molecule: long non-coding RNA, 616 nt
Filed under: Amborella trichopoda
Lineage: Eukaryota; Viridiplantae; Streptophyta; Magnoliopsida; Amborellales; Amborellaceae
Description: long non-coding RNA (ATRI_LNC003368)
Source: RNAcentral
GUCUGAACGUGGGAAGGAGUAUAACGCGUGUACUAACAACUAUAAAACCUUAAAGAGUAUGAGACAUUUGUUAGGUGUGUGGCCAUUAAAGACCUUAUGAGUGUUUGUACAUGAACUUAUUCAUAUAGUAGAACAUGUACUCAGUGGGAGUGUGGUCUUGGGUAAACCAUACUAAGCAAAUGAUGUUUGCUGAUACCAGAGUGUGUUUUAUGAGCUAGGUCAGUUUGGUCUUAUCGGUUAAAUGUGUUAUCCCCUGAUGAGGUCAGAGUAUGUCUAGAUGAGUGAACCGAUGGACUGCAUGACCUAUGUGUGUGGUGGAAGCUUCUAGAGAUGGGGUCAAAGCCUCAUCCGCAUACCAUCACAUGACAUGCACUUUGAUAGCUGUUUUCGAGAAAGAAAACCACCUUUCAAGGUGAAGUGUGUACAUGUAUGGGAGAUAACCCAUAUACACCAUCAAGCAAUGGAUUGCAUCUGGUCUAAGUGACCUCGGUUCAUCUCUAAAGGAGAACCUGAAAUCCAUAGACUGAGACUAAGACCCCUUGCCCAUUUGUCAGACUUUGAUGACCCACUAAUGAUUCAUUGCAUGGACUGUAGGUCAUGGGCAAUGCUGUGUCGG